CCUACGGGAGGCAGCAGUGAGGAAUCUUGGUCAAUGGGCGCGAGCCUGAACCAGCCAAGUCGCGUGAGGGAGGACGGCCCUACGGGUUGUAAACCUCUUUUGCCGGGGAGCAACGGGCGCCACGUGUGGCGUCACUGAGAGUACCCGGAGACAAAGCAUCGGCUAACUCCGUGCCAGCAGCCGCGGUAAUACGGAGGAUGCGAGCGUUAUCCGGAUUUAUUGGGUUUAAAGGGUGCGUAGGCGGAUCGUUAAGACAGUGGUAAAAUUGAGGGGCUCAACCCCUUCCCGCCAUUGAAACUGGCGUUCUUGAGUGGAAGAGAGGUAUGCGGAAUGCGUGGUGUAGCGGUGAAAUGCAUAGAUAGCACGCAGAACCCCGAUUGCGAAGGCAGCAUGCCGGCUUCCGACUGACGCUGAAGCACGAAAGCGUGGGGAUCGAACAGGAUUAGAUACCCGAGUAGUC
Molecule: ribosomal RNA, 460 nt
Filed under: uncultured bacterium
Lineage: Bacteria
Description: partial 16S ribosomal RNA
Rfam family: Bacterial small subunit ribosomal RNA
Source: RNAcentral